GAAAAGCAGUGUCUCUCGUUUUUUUUAACCCAUUAUUUGGCCGCCAUUUAACCGUGCGCCAAGGCCCGAUUGUGACGGAGAUGGCACCGGCUCGACGACUUCGGCGAUUAGGUGAGUUUCCCCUUUCCCUUUUACAUUUUAAGAGAAAAAUAACUAAAAAAUAAAGGAAAAAAAAUAAAAACAAAACCGAUAACUAAGAAUGACGAACACCAAAUAAAUAAAUGGAAAAAAAACCUUUUUGUAUUCAAAAUCUCUUUAUAUCUCCCCCUUUUACACUGAAAAUAUUGGCCUUUUAUAGCCGAAAAUGGAAAAGAAAACUAAAUCCAAACAAAUCUAUUCGGUUGUUUGUUGGCUCGAUUUUUCUUUGCUCUUCUCUUUCGCUUGUUGCAGGUACGUGCUUGAGGAGCGACAUUUGCGGAGGUGUGGCGUGCGUAGAGGAGCGCGAAGAGGCAGUAGUUGCGGCGCCAGAUUGCUAGUGGCCGCUGGGGCAGAAGCAGCUACGGCGCUGAAGCAGAAAGGGCUAGGGUUUCUGCACUGGGCUAGGGUUAAUGUAAUUGGGCUGAAUUUUUGGGUUUAGUCUGCAGAUGGGUAAUUAGGUUAAUUUUGGGCCUUAAAAUGUCUUACGGGCCUGGGCAUAGAAAUUGGGUAUUACAGGU
This 656-nucleotide long non-coding RNA is filed under the name Gossypium barbadense (sea-island cotton). Its description in RNAcentral is "long non-coding RNA (GBAR_LNC023467)". Lineage: Eukaryota; Viridiplantae; Streptophyta; Magnoliopsida; Malvales; Malvaceae. The record is from RNAcentral.